GAUCAUGGCUCAGGAUGAACGCUGGCGGCGUGCUUAACACAUGCAAGUCGAACGAAGCACUUUGAUUGAUUUCUUCGGAAUGAAGUUUUGUGACUGAGUGGCGGACGGGUGAGUAACGCGUGGGUAACCUACCUCAUACAGGGGGAUAACAGUUGGAAACGACUGCUAAUACCGCAUAAGCGCACAGGAUUGCAUGAUCCAGUGUGAAAAACUCCGGUGGUAUGAGAUGGACCCG
Molecule: ribosomal RNA, 235 nt
Filed under: uncultured bacterium
Lineage: Bacteria
Description: partial 16S ribosomal RNA
Rfam family: Bacterial small subunit ribosomal RNA
Source: RNAcentral